CGGGGGAAAAGCACAAUGGGCGCAGCCUGAUGCAGCCAUGCCGCGUGUAUGAAGAAGGCCUUCGGGUUGUAAGUACUUUCAGCGGGGAGGAAGGUGUUGAGGUUAAUAACCUCAGCGAUUGACGUUACCCGCAGAAGAAGCACCGGCUAACUCCGUGCCAGCAGCCGCGGUAAUACAA
RNAcentral lists this ribosomal RNA (178 nucleotides) under uncultured Enterobacter sp. RNAcentral describes it as "partial 16S ribosomal RNA". It matches the Rfam family "Bacterial small subunit ribosomal RNA", at positions 354 to 528 of the family's 1533-position model. Lineage: Bacteria; Pseudomonadati; Pseudomonadota; Gammaproteobacteria; Enterobacterales; Enterobacteriaceae. The record is from RNAcentral.